RNAcentral lists this ribosomal RNA (255 nucleotides) under uncultured bacterium. Its description in RNAcentral is "partial 16S ribosomal RNA". It matches the Rfam family "Bacterial small subunit ribosomal RNA", at positions 524 to 776 of the family's 1533-position model. The record is from RNAcentral.
GACGAACCGAGCGAACGUUAUUCGGAAUCAUUGGGCUUAAAGGGCGCGUAGGCGGGCGAUCAAGUCCGGGGUGAAAGCCCCCAGCUCAACUGGGGAAGUGCCUCGGAUACUGGUCGCCUCGAGGGAGAUAGGGGCGUGCGGAACUUCCGGUGGAGCGGUGAAAUGCGUAGAUAUCGGAAGGAACACCGGUGGCGAAAGCGGCGCGCUGGAUCUCUUCUGACGCUGAGGCGCGAAAGCCAGGGGAGCCGGAACGGG